RNAcentral lists this ribosomal RNA (253 nucleotides) under uncultured bacterium. Its description in RNAcentral is "partial 16S ribosomal RNA". It matches the Rfam family "Bacterial small subunit ribosomal RNA", at positions 524 to 776 of the family's 1533-position model. The record is from RNAcentral.
UACAGAGGGUGCGAGCGUUGUCCGGAAUCACUGGGCGUAAAGCGCGUGUAGGCGGUUGUCCAAGUUGGAUGUGAAAGCCUUGAGCUUAACUCAAGAAAUGCAUUCAGGACUGGAUGACUAGAGGACCGGAGAGGAUAGUGGAAUUCCCAGUGUAGUGGUGAAAUACGUAGAGAUUGGGAAGAACACCAGUGGCGAAGGCGGCUAUCUGGACGGUUUCUGACGCUAAGACGCGAAAGCGUGGGGAGCAAACAGG